Non-coding RNA from Benincasa hispida (wax gourd), 1817 nucleotides. The record is from RefSeq and is a predicted model, not a curated record. Lineage: Eukaryota; Viridiplantae; Streptophyta; Magnoliopsida; Cucurbitales; Cucurbitaceae.
UCUUACCAAACCCUCUCUUCUCCAAAUCUUCUCUUUUCCUUUCACUCUUUCUUACCAAACCCUCUCUUCUUCAACAAUGUAGAGUCCGAUCUUCAACAACGGAUCUUUGAUUUCGUGGGCGUUGUCAUUGUCGUGGGUCUCUGUCCAGCGUCCAACGUCUCUUCUCGUCCGGCGUUCCGUCUGGCGUCUCUUUCCGUCCGGCCAUACAGCUUUGUGGGCAUUCUUUCUUUUCCGAUUCAAUGGGUCCAGCGUUCAUGGCGUUCCAUCCAACCGUCCAUAGAUCUAUACAUUCGAUGGGUCUAUAGAUCUAGUGGAUCCGGCGUUCGUGGCAUUCCAUCCGUAGAUCUGUCCAGCUGUCCAUAUAUACGACUUGCAAAAACAGUGACCACACCUUACACAGCGUCCGUAGAUCUGGUGUUCCAUCCGUAGAUCUGUCCAGUCGUUCGUAGAUCCUUGGUAUAUCUUCUCGCCGUCUGUAGAUCUUCUCGCCAUCCGUAUAUACGACUCGCCGUCCGUAAAUCUUCUCGCCGUCUGUGGAGUGAGAAUCUUUGUGGCCUGAGUUGGAUCAAUUGCUUCGAAAUGAGGAUGAUGUAACAAUAGUGACCACACCUUACACGGCUGCCAUAUCAGAAUAUCGAGUGGUAUUCUAUGAUCCUGUAGAUGUGACUGAUGACAACAAGAACUGGAUGAAUGCAAAUGGUCAUGUUGUACAUGAUGCUUAACUUCCAUUCAGAUCUAAUGUGGUUGUGAGGAAGGAGCUCCAUACACCUGCAUCUGAUCGUUCUUGUACUCAUCUAAAGUUUGAUAUUUCUUGGUCUACACUCAAUGAAUGGACAUGUUUUAAGAAGGUUAACAAGUGGAGAAGGUGCACCCAACACAAAAAGGACUUCAUAACAACAUUAAUAAUAGGUAUAAGGUAAUAUUUAUAAUAUGCUUAUCUUAAAAGUCUAUUUGUUCAAAAGUGUUGGAUUAGAUUCAGUGUUGGAAUGCUAUGACUAUCCUGCAGUUAUGGUAGUCAUAGCUUAGUUGUUUAUGACUUCCAUUGAGUGGUUUAUGGUAGUGAAACUUUUUAGGCAUCAUUUGGUAAUUUAUAUUUAUGCAUUAUUUGUCUAAAUGAAUCUGUUUGGUGUGCUUUUUAGUUGCUUGAAGUUUUGGUGUUGCUUUAGGGGUUUUUUUACUUUUUAGUUAUAUGGAUAAUGUAAAACUUUUUAGUUGGAGAUGCUAAUUUCCUCCUUUCCUAUUAUAUGUUGAAUUCUUAUUAUAUGUUGUUUGCCCAUUUUUCUCUGCUUGUAGGAAGUCAUGCUUUCAAUUUGGAUCAAAUCUAUGGUGGAUGGUGGAGAGAACAUAACGAAGGAGUAAUUGAAAGACUAUUUGGAAAACACUAUAUAAUGACUAGUGUGUGUGCAAUUCUGUUUGUAUUUUAUAGUUUACAAGUUUUUGUUUGUAUUCUAUACUUUAAAAGUAAAUUCUCACUCUUGUUUGGAUCAAGAUUUACAAGUUUUUGUUUUUUCUCAUGGUUACAUUUCCGUUUAUGGAAGGGGGCCAACUUUAAUAAAAGAUUCUAAUGGAUAACAUGCAAUAACAAUUCAAGCCUUCAUGUUGAUUGAAGUUUCCUCACAUUUGUAUUCUCUCAAUCUCUUCCUCUACCAUAUACUUUUAAUGGUAUUGUUUGUGUGUUUUUUAGGUGUUUGGAAGGGGUGGGGAGGAGAUGGAUUUCUUGCAACAGCAAGGAAUUCACGUAAAAAUUGUCCAAGGUACAACAAAGAAGUUAAGAUUUGGUAUCGCAACCUCUUUAUGCUUUUUCUUGGGGAACUCUA